This is a small nucleolar RNA of Pteronotus mesoamericanus, 215 nucleotides long. RefSeq annotates it as small nucleolar RNA U3. Lineage: Eukaryota; Metazoa; Chordata; Mammalia; Chiroptera; Mormoopidae. The record is from RefSeq and is a predicted model, not a curated record. The transcript has a single exon.
AAGACUAUACUUUCAGGGAUCAUUUGUAUAGUUUGUUACUAGAGAAGUUUCUCUGAACGUGUAGAGCACUUGAAACCACGAGGAGAAGGCAUAGCCAUUCUCUCCUGAGCAUGAAGCUGGCUUUUGGUGUUGCUUUUGCAACUGCUAAUGGCCAUUGAUGAUAGUUCUUCUCUUCCUUUGGGAGAGUAAGAGAGAGAGGACACAGUCUAAAUGGU